This is a long non-coding RNA of Equus caballus (horse), 14498 nucleotides long. The record is from Ensembl. Lineage: Eukaryota; Metazoa; Chordata; Mammalia; Perissodactyla; Equidae.
AGGGGGUAUGGUCUUAUCUCUAGAAGCUCUUAAUCAAUGCCAGAGGCAAGAACUUAAGUUGGUUACUGUCUGGCAACUUCAUGUAACUGACCCCCCCCCCCCCCCCCCCCACAAAUCCUCCUUUGUCUUUAGCCGAGGAUAAAAUUCAAGCCGUGACUUCUGCCAUUUACUCAAUCCGGUUUGAUUCUUAUCUAAAAGUUGUGGGACCGCCAAAUGGCCAGACCAUACGGGCACUGAUACCAUUUUAACUUUUUUACAUAUUCUUUGUCUUGUAAAGAGAUAACUCACAUACCUAUGCCUUAAAUUUAGCCCUAACCCUCAACUCGGGGCAGCAGCAGGAGCUCUGACUGCCCGUGGGUCCUGUCCCCACGCACCAGCUCUGCCUGCCCAUGGGUCCUGUCCCCAUGCCAGCGGGGGCAGCAGAAGCAGCGGCAGCAGAAGCUCUGACUGCCCAUGGGUCCUGUCCCCAUGCUAUUCUAUACUAUUCUCUAAAUAAAAGAGCACUACUGCCAGAUCUUGAGAGUCUAAGAAAUCUUUCUUUCGACUCCUCGGCUCACCGACCCCGCAUCAUUUCUGGUGGCCCGUACGGGGAUCUCGCUUCAUCGGCUUGUGAGCUCGAGUUCUGCCAGACGAACCCCCAUUUGGGGAGAGGAAAUGUCCUCCUCCCCUACAGUUUUGGCGUAGUUGGCAGGAUGAAAUUUCCCUGGCUGGACACUGCUUGCUCCUGGACUGCUGCGGCUGAGAGAUCCCGGACCCCUGACGAGAGCCAGCAAGAGGACACAUUGGUUAUCUUACCAAGGCUUUGAAUGGAAUGUCAUAUUUGAGCGAAACAUACAGGCUCAGAUAUGACAACACAGCUUUUCAGGAACAAAGAUUGGACAUUCUGGAAUACAGCCACUUGGAAACAUGGGCCUGGUACCUUGUUUACAGAGAUUCUGGCAAUCUUGCCUGGUAAGUAAGGAAGCUUGCUUAUCUGGCAGGUGCAAGGAACCUCAGAAUAUUUUGGAGGACCUUGAGAAGAGAGGAGUCCACCCAAACCUGUAGGUACUGCAGGCAAAAUCUGAUGGCAAGUCCUUGGCUUGGCUUUUCUGGCCUCGAGAGGCCUUUACAGUUCAAUCUGAGAUUCCUCAUAAAAAAUUUCAGCAAAGCAGAUUUAAAAAGCCUGUAUAAUCAAUUGCCAUUCUUGCUGCACUUAUGUAAAUAAUUGGACCAAGUUGUAUUGAAACUACACUUAUUUUGCAAACCAGUUAAUCUUAAUUUGGCUAUCUUUUAUAAAAAUGAGGGUGAUUUUAGAGAGAAAAAUUAUGCUUCAGUAGAAGCUAUAGUACGCAUUUAUGGAUAUUAGAUUCUAGCUCUUUUCUUCCAUAAGAUUCAUUUAUUACUAAUCGCAAUGUCUCCUUGUGGCCAUCCAUCUCUGACACCUGGGAGAACCCUGGCCACAAUCAAACCUUUUCUUUCAAUACUACUGCCCAAAUACUAACUAGAUUUGCCUUGUCACAGGUGGAUGAUAAACAAAAAGUUCCAAAGGUAAAGUCCCCAAUGAUGAGGAUUUUUAGGCUGCUUAAUUUUAAAAUGGCUUAUGAUGAGGAUUUUUAGGCUGGUUAGUUUUAAAACUACAGAUGAGAUUCAGGCUCCAAGGAGUGGAAUUUGUUUGCCCCUUUGUUGGGAAACAUUUACAUUUCUAAGGGAAACCUCUAUCUGUGAAGAUGCCUCCCUCUCUGUGCCAGGAAGAAGUGGGGAUGGUCUUAUCUCUAGAAGCUCUUAAUCAAUGCCAGAGGCAAGAACUUAAGUUGGUUGCUGUCUGGCAAUCUCAUGUAACUGGUUUAGGGUGGUGGCGUCUAACCUUUCUAACCUUUACUUAAUCCGAUUUGAUUCUUGUCUAAAAGUCAUGGGAUCACCCAAUGACCAGACCCCACCUGCACUGAUACCAUUUUAACUUUUUUUCAUCUUCUUUCCUUUGUCUUGUAAAGAGAUGAAUCAUAUACCUAUGCCUUAAAUUUAGCCCUAACCCUCAACUCGGGGCAGCAGCAGGAGCUCUGACUGCCCGUGGGUCCUGUCCCCACGCACCAGCUCUGCCUGCCCAUGGGUCCUGUCCCCAUGCCAGCGGGGGCAGCAGCAGCGGCUCUGCCUGCCCAUGGGCUCUGUCCCCAUGCCAGCGGGGGCAGCAGAAGCGGCGGCAGCAGAAACUCUGACUGCCCAUGGGUCCUGUCCCCAUGCUAUUCUACUCUCUAAAUAAAAGAGCACUACUGCCAGAUCUUGAGAGUCUAAGAAAUCUUUCUUUCGACUCCUCGGGUCACCGACCCCGCAUCACCCAACUUAUCAAUACACACAGGAUGGACUAUAUCAAAUUUGGGACGAAUAUAUUUGGCUCACUCCUACUAGUGGCCAACUCAGUCAAAAGGCCACUCUAUGUUGGGAACAAAGCAAUCACACCUGUGAUACAUGGCCUAAUAGCACCCGACCUAUGGGACAAAUUCCCCGUCAUAUGUGUUCUCAUAUCAUAAGCUUAAAAAAUACUGAUUGGUUUGGGACUGACUGGGAUAGACGGCCAAGCACACGUUGGUUAGCCCCUAAUGGCACUCAGUGGUUAUGUGGCUCCAACUUAUGGCCUUGGCUACCACCUGGAUGGAUUGGACGAUGCACCCUAGGUUUUGUCUGGAUGCAAGGUAGAACUACAUUUACUAUAUCUCCUCCUGCUAACCUACCCAACCUGCAACAGCGCUGGACCCGCUCUGUCUUCCACUGGUAUGACCAUGUUGUCUCAAUUUUCCUUCACCAAUUAGGAAUCGAAAGUGUCAUCUGGCACAUGGAAGCUCUAAACAAAUUUACUAUGAAAGCAUUAAAUGAUACACAACAUAGCCUUUCGCUGCUCCAUUAAGAAGUGUCCCAAAUGCGUAAGGCAGUCCUCCAAAACCGAAUGGCACUGGAUGUCUUGACAGCAGCGCAAGGGGGUACUUGUGCCAUUAUAAAAACUGAAUGUUGUGUUUAUAUUCCUGACUACCAUCGGAAUAUCUCUGGCUUCCUAUCUGAUAUGAGCCACCAAGUUAAGUCCAUGUCUGACCCUACCCUAUCUCUAAAUGAUUGGUUGAACUCUUGGUCAGGUCCAGGUUUCUGGACUACUAUCAAAACCUUAUUCAUUGGGUUAAUCAUCUUGCUUGUAUUUCUUAUUACAAUUUGUUGUCUAUUUCGUUGUUUGUCUUCCACAUGUCAACAAAGUUUCACCUCCUGGACCACCUCUCAUCAAAUGAUUCUCUCGUCGCCAGAGGAUCUGUACACCUUGUCAGCCUUGGACGCCACUGGCGCAGCCUUCCAGUCCGCUAAGCCUCCUACCUGUACCCAUGGCCCCAUUUAGGGACAGCUCUACGACUUUGUACAGCCGGAAGUAGUUACAGAAGACUGACUAUCGUCCAUAUCCGCAAAAGAUUUUGGGGCCAAAAUGGGUUCGGGGGGGUUUAUGAUGAGGAUUUUUAGGCUGCUAAAUUUUAAAAUGGCUUAUGAUGAGGAUUUUUAGGCUGGUUAGUUUUAAAACUACAUAUGAGAUUCAGGCUCCAAGGAGUGGAAUUUGUUUGCCCCUUUGUUGGGAAACAUUUACAUUUCUAAGGGAAACCUCUAUCUGUGAAAAUGCCUCCCUCUCUGUGCCAGGAAGAAGGGGGUAUGGUCUUAUCUCUAGAAGCUCUUAAUCAAUGCCAGAGGCAAGAACUUAAGUUGGUUACUGUCUGGCAACUUCAUGUAACUGACACCCCCCCCCCCACACACACAAAUCCUCCUUUGUCUUUAGCCGAGGAUGAAAUUCAAGCCGUGACUUCUGCCAUUUACUCAAUCCGGUUUGAUUCUUAUCUAAAAGUUGUGGGACCGCCAAAUGGCCAGACCAUACGGGCACUGAUACCAUUUUAACUUUUUUACAUAUUCUUUGUCUUGUAAAGAGAUAACUCACAUACCUAUGCCUUAAAUUUAGCCCUAACCCUCAACUCGGGGCAGCAGCAGGAGCUCUGACUGCCCGUGGGUCCUGUCCCCACGCACCAGCUCUGCCUGCCCAUGGGUCCUGUCCCCAUGCCAGCGGGGGCAGCAGAAGCAGCGGCAGCAGAAGCUCUGACUGCCCAUGGGUCCUGUCCCCAUGCUAUUCUAUACUAUUCUCUAAAUAAAAGAGCACUACUGCCAGAUCUUGAGAGUCUAAGAAAUCUUUCUUUCGACUCCUCGGCUCACCGACCCCGCAUCAACUUCACUUCUCUGUGCCUCAGUUUCCUCAUCUGUAAAAUAAGGAUAAUAAUAGUUGUGUUUGCCAGAGUUCAGUGCAGGAAAUAGGAACCACUGGAGGUAUUUUGAGCACAAAGCAAUUUGAUACAGAGGAUUGGGUGCUUAUGGGAUGGAGUGGCUGGAUGCGGGGAGAGGAGAAGGUAAGGCUGGGUCUCUAAAGGAUGUGCUCCUUUGGCCUGGGCAGAAAAGGAAGAUGGGCAGCUGAAGGUUGCCACUGGUACUAUGAGUCCUGGGGUACGCUGACAGGGCUGUGACCCAGGUAGCAGGCAGGGCCUCCAAGGCUGCCGCCAGGGGUGAGGACGGCACGCUGGACACGCUGCAGGAAAAAAUGCACGUCUGUGUGAGCCUGCUCGCCAGAGGGAGCAGCCAAUGUAGCAGAAAGGUGGCCUCUGGCUCCCUCCCACCUUCCAAAUCCCAUGUGAGGGUCUGUGGUUGGAUCAGGCACCCGCCACUCUCGAAGGGCUGAGAAACGCAGCAUUCUGCCUCCAAAGGACAGGAAAUAGGUGGGAACGGAUCCCGAGUGCUACUCAGCCCCGUGAGGAUUACCUGUAUCUGUGCCUGGAGGGCACUCAGUCCUGGCACCCAGCACGUGUGCAUGCACGUGGGCUCUGGGGAACGUCACAGUGGUCAUCGCUACGUGCCUGCCAUGUGCCAGUGCCAGGCUAGGCCCUGGGAGACACAACAGUGAACAAGAAAGGGCCCUCCCCUGAAGAAGUGCUGAGACGCCAGGGGGAGCAUGAACUGGAAUCAUAAAGGAGAGUGGUCAGUGCAAAAGUGAGUCAUAAGAGCACAGAGAGGGGCCCCCAGGCCAGUCUUGGGUGGGGAAGGUCGGAGAAAACAUACUUGGUAGGGUGGGGACAACUUGUAACUCUGGGCACUCAGGCUGAGGUGGUGCCCACCCAUGGGCUCCCUGCCCCUGGACAGAGUUCUUAGAAAGCCCCUCCCUCCCAUCAACUUUACAGCCUACAUGUAGUUCAAUUCUCCACUAUUUACAAGCAUUUACAAUGUACCAGAAACCAGGGACACUUCUCCCAGUCACUCCUAAGGGGGAAACUUUUUGCUGGACAGCUGCAGAAGCUCUACAGCUGGGACAGAGGAGGGGAGAAGGGGGGAUAGGAAAAGCCGCUGACAAUUUCUCUGUCACCGCCCACCCCCUCCCCCGAGCAAGCCUCAUCAUGCACAGGUUAGAGAGUCUCCCCAGGUACCUGGCCCCCAACUCCCACUUGGCUGCCACACCCAACACACACACAAACCACACUGCAUAAUCACAAGACAAAACUCCCCGGGCAGGCAGCCCUGACAUACAUAUGCAUGAAUUCCCCAGGACCUGAAAGCCAGCUGUGUUUCCAGUUGCCAGAGGGACCUGACACAGACCUCUUCAAGGCUUGGACACACGAGAAACUUGGAGAUAGGGGCCAGUCUGCAAGCAGUCAGGACCCCUCCUUCCUGCUGGCCCAGCAGAAGGCCCCUCCGGGUCUUCCUCUGUUCCUGCCACCCCGCCCCCAGCUGGAUGUGGCAGUGUGGGGCGCCCUCAUGCGGGCCACAGCAGCCCUGCAGCCUCACCGACAGCAUCCUAGGCUGCCCUCCUCCCCCUGCACCCACGCCUCCCCUCCUCCCAGAGCCCUGGGUCGUCCUGUCCCACGGGGGUCACCACUGUGCCACAGCCCAUGCUUCUACUCCAACUGGCCUGCCUCCAACCCAGAUUGCCUUCUUUUACCUCUGAAUAUUUUCUCAUUUAUAUUUUAAAAUUCAAUAUUCAAAGAGUAUGUAUUAUUUAUCUGACCCUGUGUAACUACUCCCGAAGUGUAGCAGCUUAUGAUAGCAAACAUUUAUUAUUUCCCAGUUUCCGAGGGUCAGGAGUCCAGGAGCAGCUUAGCUGGGUGGCUGUGGCUCAGCAUCGCUCACGCAGUUGCCAUCAGGUUGCUGGCUAAGACUGCAGUCAUCUGAAGGCUGGGCUGGAUCCACUUCCAAGCUCACUGCACAGAGCUGUCGCCCACAGCAGCCCUCAGUUCCUUGCCAGUGGGGCCUCCCCAUCAGGCUGCUAGGGACGUGGCAGCUGGCUUUCCCAAGGGCAAAUGCUCCCAGAGAAAGAGAGCAAGAGAAACCAAAACAGAAGCCGCAGUGUCUGUUAAAAACUAAUCUCAGACGUAACAUACCGUCAUGCCUGCCAUACUCUAUUGAUAACACAGGCCAACCUGGCACAACGUGGGAGGGGACAUGAAUUCCAGGAGGCAGGGAUCCUGGGGUCCUCCAUGGAGGCUAGCUUCCACAAAAUAUAUUUUUAGAAAUAUUAGCUAUCAAACAAAUUACGAUCAGCACCCAUGAACCCACCACUCACACAAGAACUAGAACAUCAUCUGUUCCCUUUCAUCCACCCUCUGCCUGCCUGUGUAAAAGGUAAUCACCAGCUUGAAUUUCAUGUUUGUCAUUCUUUUGCAUUUUAAACAGUUUUGCCAUGUAGGUGCAUACUCCUAAAUGACCUGUUUAGUUUGCCUUUUUGAUCUUUAUAGAAAUGAUAGGUCGUUGGUAGUCAGGGGGUGCUCCCUCCUCCAAGCUCCUACGCAACUUGUCUUCUCCCUCCCGUUCCCCGCUCUGGGGCGGGGCCAGCUGCUUUCUUCUUAUUUCUGGGUUACUUCAGCAUUCUUUAUUUAUCCACUCUCCUGUGGACGGACAUUGCACUCCUUUGCCAUCUGGAUAAUGAUGCUAAGUCCCUGUGGUACAUCUCUCCUGGGACACGUGUGAGUUUCUCCACAUUGAUACCCAAGCACGGGACACUGGGCCCUAGGAUAUGCAAACAUUCCAUUCUACAAGAGAAUGUCAAAUUGUUUCCCGAAGUGGUUUACACUCUACAUUCUCACCUGCAACUUAUACAAAAUCCUGUCGAUCCACAUCUUCUCCCUGAGGUGUGCGUGGUGGGGAGGUGGUCCAAGGGGCCUGGGAGAGGAGGGGGGCUGAGAGGCCCGGAGGCUGACAGUGGGAGGACCCUGGCCCAACUCAGCCAGAGGAGCUUGCAGGACCCCAGGAAGCAUUUGGCUGGCCCUUCCUGAGGAGGGCUCACUUAGAGGGGUACACCUUUUUACCUGGCUGCUUCUAUUGGUCUAGGGAAAACCAUUUAUGCCCUCCUCCUUGUAAGGAUUGCAUGUUAUAAGGGCUUGAUAAGAGUCCCAACGAAGAGUCCCAUUGUACACAGCAGACACUCAUUACAGCAUCUUUCCUUUCUUCCCCGCCCCCACUGAAACUACUUCUUUGGGAAAGUGGAAGUAAGUAAAAGAAACAAACUCCUGAGCAAAUCACAGUGCUCUCAUCGCCAUCAUCAUUAACAGAGCAUUAAUUAAUUGCUUACCCAAGGAAAGGAAAAUUUAAUUACCUACCACGGAAAUUUUCAAAAGAAAAAAGGAAACAUGAGUUUAAAUUUUAAUUAGGGCCCCUGCAUGGUGGGAAUGGGAAUGAGCUGGUUUCUCUUAGAUCUAAUUGUUGAAAAUUAAAGUGAGGGGUGUAGUGAUUAAGUUCACGCACUCUGCUUUGGCUGCCUGGGGUUGGCAGGUUUGGAUCCUGUGCAAGGACCUACACACCUGGGCAAGGACGCUCAUCAAGCCAUGCUGUGGUAGCAUCCCACACAUGAAAUAGAGGAAGACUGGCACAGACAUUAGCUCAAGGCCAAUCUUCCUCACCAAAAUAAAAAGAAAAGAAAAUUAAAGUGAGGGCCUCUGAUCCCUGGGCAGUCUCCUGCUCCCACUACCUCCCUCCCAUGCCUCCAGCUAGACCUCUUCUCAGAGGAGACAUGGAGGGGGCAGACCACUCCCUCCAGGACUCUGGCCAUCGCCCCUCAGGGAGCUGCUUCAGUGCAGGGUUUCAGAAGCAUAGGACAGGUCCCGCUGCCUCAAAUCCACCUUUCUUGCCUGGCUCACAGCUGCUCCCUAUUCACAGGAAUAGCCGUAGACGCCGUGAUGUGCUGCAGCCCAGACCUCUCUCCAGGACAGGCUCCCCAGCCUCUGGGAUUGCUGCCCGCAGACAGCCUCAGCUGCCAGCCCCUUCCAGAUUGCCCUAGGUCACACCGCCUUCCCAGGCCUGCCCGCAGCCAGUGGGUAUAAAGGCCCAGCAUUCUUGCCUGGAUUUGGGUCAACUCUGAAGGUCAUUUUGGCUCCUGUGCUCCAGGCAGCAUUGCAGGGCUUUUGUUUAGACUUCAGCGCAGCUCACCUUCUCCCUCCGGCUAGUCCUGCUGCUGUGUCCUCUCUUCCACAGGUGAAAAUCCCAAGAAAACUCCCUAACAAAUGUCCUGCAGGCUUAGCUCCAUCUCAGAGUCUGCUUUUUGAGCGUCCCAACUUGUGACAGAGAUUUCAAUUCAGCAUUGUUAAAAAUUUACAUUUUACAGAGACAUCAAAUUAAGGGAAGCUCAGAAAGCAUCCAGCCCAGCCUCCUCCCAAUACAGCAAUACCUUUAGGAUCUGACCCAGCUAAUGGGGCCACGGCUUGAACGCUGACCAUGACAAGGCCUCGUCAUCUCAAGAGCAGCCAUUUCAGUGCCUGGACAGCUCAGACUGCUAGAAGGCUCUUCUCAUGCUGGUCAGCUCCUGCCAGACAGAGCCACAGAGCAAGGGUCUAUGUGGGUGCCAGGACUGUGCCAGGCUGGGAGGAACACAGGAUGGUGGAGACCCUGUCCCAGCCCUCAGGACAGACCAGGUCCAGAGCAAGGAUGGCGGCAGGGUCCUGGCUCCCAGCCCCGGUGGCAGCCCUGAGGAUGCACACUCGACCCACAUUCGAAGUUCCCCUGGAAGAUGGAGCACAGACACCCAGUGGGACAGUCCCUGAUGGCCUGGACACUCCACCUCUGCAAGCAGCCUGGUCACCAGCUGGCUCAUGCCUGAUAUUUCUAGGUGCUUUUGAUAAGCCCAGUGCCCACAUGGGGCUCCUCUGAGGGCCUCCCCAGCCUGAGCCUGCGCCUCCCUUUCAGCAGCCUAGGUCGCCAAGCUGGGGACCAAUUAAGCUGAGGUUGUGUCACCCCCUGUGUGGUAGGAAAGGCCACUGGUCUGCUAAAGAAUUAGCCAGCGCCCAGGGACUCCCUGGGUGAGCCCCCUUUGUCCAGGCCUGCUCUAGGUCCCUGUUGUUGCUCUGGCCCUGGGUGCAGCUAGAUGGCGUUGUCCCAUCAUGCCUUGCACCUGCCCUGGCCUGAGCAGCGGGCUCACCUGGCAUCCACUCAUGUGACCCCAUGGACGCAGAGGAGUCUGCACACAGUUCCUGGACCCCAGCCCUAGGCCUUUACUGAGGCCAUAGUCACAGGCCAUUGGAGACACUGCCCACCCCUUCCUCAGGGCUCAGAGCAACACAUUGAUUCAACAAGUAUUUACUAAAGUCCUACUAUGUGCAGGACUUUAUGCCAGGUGCAGGCGAUGCAGCACAGCAGACACUUCCCUGUCCUGCCUGGAGGAGACAGAGUAAUAUGGGAGACAGAAAUAGACAUAAAUUCACACACCUGGGGAGCGCCCCAAAGCACCAGGAUAACAUACAGGUGUGUGCAGGGAGGACGUUGGACAGGCCUCUGCCGUGCUCUGAGAGAUAGCAGCUCUGCAGUGAGGUUGGAAGGAAGGGUCAGGGUUCACCAGGCAGAGGAGACAGGGAGGAAUGGGCUCCUGGAAGCUUGGGAAGCAGGGAGGAGUCCUCCUUGAGGUCCCAGGGCUGCAGGUCCCACUUCCCUCCACACCUGGCACAGGGCUGGGCGGUGGUGAGGGACAGCCCAGCUGUCUGGAGGAUGGAGCCCUGAGAGAGGAAUCCAGUCCCGGAUGCCAGGCUGAGCUGCGCCAGAACCUGCAUGUCUCGGCUGCCUUAUGGGUCAGAUGGAGUUUCAGACUCCAGCUUCUUCUGCAGCCCUGAGAGGUGGGCGCCACCCUCUGGACUCUCAAGUGAGCACAUGGAGGCCCGGGGCCGCCCCUCGCAGGAGACCAGAGGCAGGAGCUGAAAACAGAGCCCAGCACACCUCUCCUGGUCUCUCAGCUGAGUCACGCUCUGGGAUCCCCAGAGGUUUCAGCAACUUCACAGGGAUGACGGAGAACGGAGAGUCAAAUGAUGGUCAUGGGAAACGUGCCAUGAUGUCACAUGGCAGUCAUGGGAAAGGACAUGCCUGGCAAUGGCGUUGGCCUUGUUUUCUUCUGGGAUGGGGUCACUGGGCUGUGCUGGGACUGAGAGGAUCUGGAUCUGAGCCCCCAGCUGUGACAAAGCCCUGUGAGCCUGGGCAAGGGGGAGGCUGCAUUCGCUGGGAAGAAACUCCUUUGAUUCCAGUGUGGAAAGAGAGAGAAGCGUGCAGAUUUAAAUUGCAUCAGGAGAGACUCAAGCCAGACACGUGGAAGAACAUCCAGGCUGAGGGUGCUGAGAAGGAAAGGGCAUGGAGGCAUCUGCCGAUGUCACAGUGUCAUCUCCAGCUCUAAGGCAGGAAAGGCUUGGAGGACUCAGGGUGGGCACCAGAGGCGGCAGACAUGCUCAGUGAUGCUGACUGAAGUUGGCCAUGACGUUUAGUGGGGAGAGCAUGGAUUGGGCCACAGGCAGGAAACAGACCCUGAGGGGCCAGGAGGGUUGGGAGCUGCCCAGAAGAGCAAAGUGAGUGCUGGCUGUGGGGAGGGUGGAGGGGUGGAGGGAUGCCUGCGAGCCAGAAAGCAGCUUUCUGCAGGCUGGGCCCAGACACAAGGUGUGGAGUGGAGGGGUGGGCAGGACUGUUGGCUGGGUGGCUGCAGGACCCACAAACAAAUGUGAGUGAAUGAGAUACAAAGAAGCAGGCAAGUCCCCUGAGCCGCACACAGCAGAGCGCUUCACCCUCUGGCUCCCAGCGCCACAGGACUUUCCCUCUCCUGACACCCCACCAUCUCCUGAACCCCACAAUGGUUCUCCCACUCUCUCCCGGGGCUGUUCCUCUGGGGCAUCUACAACCAGAGGCCUCCAGAUAGUCCACACAAAAGUUUCUCCAGGUCUGAUGAAGAGGACCCAAGUGUUAACCCUCCAGGCCUCAAUUCCCUGGGCAGGGGCGGGGGUGGGGCAAGCCAGAGCUGCAGUUAGGAAGCUGCCAUCUGUCUAUACUGGGCGAGCUGUGCAUCAGCCUGAGAGCAGGGGAAGGGACAAAAUGACCUCCUGGGGAGACUUCUAGCCCAGGGACUGCCAUGGUAGCUGGAUAAAGAACAUUAAAUAUUCAGCAAAUGCUCAGCAGGGAUAGAUGGAAGGGCCCAGAGCAAGGACCAAGUCCAGGGUGGGGCUGAGAGUUGGGCCUGUUCCCGAAUUAGGACCCAGGCAGGGUUGAUUAGCAAGAGCCACAGCCAAGGGGAAAAUCUACACAGAGGUGGACCUUCUCCAUGGUGUUCUGGACUCUGAACGCUGGAGAGGGUGGAGGGACGGUAAGGAGAUGGUCUCCCGAGCCGAGGCCCAGGCCUAUGUAAAGCCUUAAUAUUUGCAAAGGUCUGGGGUUGGGACAGGGAUAAAGGAGGGCUGAAUAAUUCAGAAAGCAAGUGCAGAAGUGGCUGUUGCUGAUGUUGACUGAGCUUUGUGCCUGGCUGGACUCCAAGCAGCACGCUUGGCCUCCCGGCUGGUGAUGCUGGGGGCCAGAGAGGGAGCGAGCACAAUCAGCCCUCAGUGCAGCUUGCUGGGCUUUGUUUCUCAAGGCUCUUUCACAGGCCUCUUCUCUCACCUCACCCCUCUUCCCCAGCACCCUGUGAGGUGAGCAGGGCAGGUAAUGAUACUCAGGGAGGCUGAAUAACCUGGCCGUGCUCAUGUGCCUGGUACAUGAGGCUGGAACCCAGGAGCUCGUGAGUCUCCUCUCCCCAUCCCCACCUCCCAGGCAGGAACCCUCACCUCUGCGUGGCGGUCUCACUUUUCAUACCAGUUUCUCUUCUCUCUUACGCUUUCUGGUCCUCAUGAUAAUCCUGCGAGGUGCAUCAGGGAUCACUGGUCCUGGAGCAACCAAGCAAGACCUGGGUUCUGAGCAUGGCUUUGGCACAGCUAAGCUCUGCCAUCCUGGGCAAGUUCCAUCCCCACUCUCGGCCUCCAUAGCUGCAUCUUCUCCUCUGUAGGAUAAAGUCAUAUGCAUCGAUACUCCUGGGGUCCCUUCUACCUCCGACAUUCUCUGGUUCUAAGCACCAUAUAACAGAUAAGAAAAUAGAGGCUCAGCUUGUGGGUGGCACACAUGGGAGAAAGACCUCUUCCAGUUGCCCCAUGGGGACCUGCCUCCUGCCUGCACCCUUCCCUCAGCUCAACCCAGGAGCAGGAGAGGGAAGCACUUCCUGCCUUCUCUGCAUCCCAGAGACUCAUUUAAAGGAGAAUCCAGUUUUUUGACUCCUUUUCUUGUCUGGACCCAGAAGCAGGAAGCUUAUCAGUGUUUAAUGAAGCCAGGACCAAUCUAAUUAUCAAAGGCACUUGUGUUAAUAAGCCCCUUUCAAUCUGUGCAGGGAGCUAACACUCAGAAUAAAAGGGAAAGAAAAGCCAUUAUCGUGAAAUGUCUGGGCUCCUACCUGGGCUGAGCCCUAUGAAGUCAUUAUGGGUAAUUAUGGGCUGUCAGCCCAGCACAGCACGCAGUCUACAGUCUCCGUUAGGUAGAGGUAAUGAAGAGGAGCAUGUGGCCCCUGCGAGGCAGACAAGUUGAGGUCAUAAAAAAGGGCAACUUUCCAUUUUUAGUUCCCUUCCAUCUGGCUCCUUAGGAGUGUCCCCACCCCACUUCUCCACUUCAUACUUCUAGUUUCACUCCCAACAGAUUUGGCAUCCCAAGUUUCCUUUUGCUCAGGAGAAAAGUCAGUGUGCUCUGAGAUUCUGUACCUGAGUGCUCUAGAAGCUUUACUUGAAGAGCUUUCCUAAUUUCCCACCUGACUCACGCUGAGCUGACGGUUGCUCGGACUAGGGUGAAGCAGUGAAGAUGGUGAAAAGUAGUCAGGCUAGACUUGCUGAUGGAUUGGAUGGACAAGGGGAGUGAUGAGGGGAAAAGAAGAGUCUGAGAUGACCAGGGAUUUUUGGCCCGAACAGCUGGACAGAUCGUGGUAGCGUUUAUUGAGAUGAAGAUGAAAGGAGAAGUUUAUUUGAAAGAGGAGAAACAAGACUUUAUGUUUGGCCAUGUUAAAUUGAAGAUGCCUAUUAUAGACCCAAAUGUCUAACAUUUCAAAUAUGAAGCAUAGGGAAGGGUCACUACUACAGAUACAGAGCUGAGAGUCAUCAGGAUAUGUGGCACAUAAAUCCAUAAACUGGCUGAAAUCCGUUAGGCGGAGUGUGUACAUCGGGAAGUGAUGGACACACAGGACUGGCCCCUGGCCCUGAGACACCCAACGUUUGGAAGUUGAGAGGAGGAGGAGCAAUUGCAAAUUGGACCUGACUGCUGCUACUGGAAUGAACUGCCUCUGCUGGUGUGAAGAAACAAGGAUAGAUGGUGAUGACAGGAACAGGAAGCAAAGAGGAAAAUUGUAUCCUUUCUUCCUCCUCCCGCCUUCUGUCUACCUCCGGCAACCCCUACAGGCAAAACCUAACAGGGCGCUAAAUAGGCGAGCCAAAACGUGGUUUUCAAAGUUCUUGCCCCAGCAGCACAAAGUAGAGUAAUGAAGGAUACGUUUGAAGCUGAGAGAUCAUAGCUGAAUAACUGCACACACAUCAAGGUGCUUGCCUACUGCCUAAGGCCAGUCUGAGUAGGGUUUUCUCCUAUACAGUCAAGCGCCACAUAACAAUAUUUUGGUCAAUGAUGGACUGCAUAUACGACAGAGGUCUCAUAAGAUCAAUACCACAUAGCCUAAGUGUGUCGGAGGCUAUACCACCUAGUUUUGUCAUUAUUCACAAUACCUGAGACUUGAAAACAGCCAAAGAGCCCACUGAUGGAUGAACGGAUAAAGAAGAUGUGGUAUAUAUACACAAUGGAAUACAACUCAGCCACAAAAAGAGAAAUCUUGCCAUUUGUGACAACAUGGAUGGACCUUGAGGUUAUUAUGCUAAGUGAGAUAAGUCAGACAGAGAAAGUCAAAUACAGUAUGAUUUCACUCAUAUACGGAAGAUAAAACAACAACAAACACGUAGGUACAGAGAAUGGAUUGGUGAUUGCCAGGGAGGUAGCAGGUAGGGGGGAGUGUGAAAGGGGUAAAGGGACACAUGUUCAUGGUGACGGAUGGAAACUAGACUUCUGAUAAUGAACACGAUGUCGUCUGCACAUAAGUCAAAAUAUAAUGAUGUACACCUGAAAUUUAUAUGAUGUUAUAAACCAAUGUUACCCCAAUAAAAAAAUUAAAAUUUUGAAUUAUUAGC